This is a long non-coding RNA of Chlorocebus sabaeus (green monkey), 2883 nucleotides long. RefSeq lists it as uncharacterized. NCBI's taxonomy places the organism in Eukaryota, Metazoa, Chordata, Mammalia, Primates, Cercopithecidae. The record is from RefSeq and is a predicted model, not a curated record.
CCUGACCUCGUAAUCCGCCCGUCUCGGCCUCUCAAAGUGCUGGGAUUACAGGCUUGAGCCACUGCGCCCGGCCCGAUACUUCUCUUUUAGGGCUGUGUCUCCUCCUCCUCUGUGGGUUAGGACCAGACCCCUAACACCCUCCCUCCCCUAACAUCCCAUCCAAUCCCACAGCCAUGAGUUUGGUGUUAUAAGCUGCCGGUUCCCACAUUCCUCUCUCCAACCUACAUCUCCCUCCUGAGUCACUUGUCACUUUGAUGUCCCUGUGAUGCAACAGGUCCCAACCCAAGCUCGUUAUCUUACUCCAACCUGCUCCUCCUGCGUUCCUCCCUUCAGGCAUGCCAUCACCGCCCUCUCGGCCAGCUCCUCCUCCCUCUGCAGUAUCUAAUCCACAUCCUGUCCCCAGGGCUCCACCUCUAAACACUUCUUUAGCCAGUUCCCUGCUCUUGUAUUCACAGCUCCCACCUCCACCUCCUCACUGGUCUUUCUGCUCCCCUUGCUCUUCUCCACACUCGCCAUUCCCUCAUGCCAUCCUCCUCCACGAUUUCUCUUAAGUGGAGCAAAGGAAAAAAGAGGGCUCUGGAUUUGAACCCCAGCUCCAGUCCUUCCCCCCGGUAGGAGCAUGGCCAGGCACCUAACAGUGGUUGCUGAUUUAACGUGUCUUCCAGAGGACAGCAUGUCUCACACUGGGCAAAAAUAAAGCACAUGAGGUCCCUGCCCUCAAGGAGCCCCAGUCUGCAGCAGGAGACAGAGACAGAAGCAAGCAGGCUGAUGCCUGUGCUACGUGUGGGUGGGGGUUCGUCAGUCCAGAGCACUGCAGAGCCCAGGAGAGGGGUCUAGGGGAGGCGCCAGGAAGCCUGAGUGGUUCAUCUCUUACAGCCUCAGUCUCCUUAUCUGAAAAGUGAGGACAAUAACAUUUAUCUUGAGGGGUGGGGAUGAGCCACCUGACAUCUUCGUUUCAGAUUUCCAACGGGGCCUAGAGCCUGCACAGAUGCUCAAAGCGUGCUUUUUGAAUACAUGAAAAUGAUGUUACCCCUCCAAAGCAGAACAGGGCAGAAGAUGUAGGUCCUGGGUCAUUCUGGGAAUAUUACUAUGUGGCCGUACACAGGUUACAUCCUGACAAGGUAUCUGUCCUCCCGGAGACUCCUCUGCAGAGGCUGACCCCUACCCCCCAGGUGGGCAGGGGCUGGUGCCAAUGCCUCCAAGGAAGUGGGGGAGGUGGGCGUGGCCGUGGAGUCUGUCCCAGCAUUCCCCUGGGCUGUGACUUCACUGGUCUGAAAGUGCUUGCAGAGGUGUGCUGAGACAGCGGGGGCCAGGCUGGGGGCAGGGUGGAGGUUCUCAGGGGAAAAGCGAGUGGGAGAACGUAGGGGUGGUGGGGUGUGGGGGGACAAUGGGUAACUCACGAGAAGCCUGGACGUGCUGGAUCCCAUCCGAGAAGGCAGGGCUGAGCAGGUGGGGCACUCUAGCUCGGUUUCCGGGGAGACACUUCACCUGCCUAACCUGCACUCAGAGCCAAGAUUGACACAAACACUUUCUCACCCAUCUUCUUAUGCAAGGAACGUCUUGCUUGUGGCAGCUUGGCUGCUGUGGGCUGGGAGUCUCAGAAGCCCUCCUAAACAGCUGCCCAUCUAAUUUUGGCUGGAGGUGAGUUUCCAUCUCUCUCUGGCCCUGCCAUAGCCAGCCCCAACUUUGUUCCUGAUUGCCUUGGAAGAACUGCCUUUGAAAUUUGACAUCUGUACCCAGACAGUCACAAGCACCUCUUCGGCAAAGCCCACCUCCCUCUCUCGCUUGAUUCCCCGGCCAUCCUUAUCAAAGACCUUCCAGGUGAACAGGCAGCCAUCCUCAGCAGCAGUCAGCAGGAAUUGAUCAUCAAAGGCAACAAAAUUCCUUAUGGCAGCACCCAAAGGCUUGAAAUUAGCCAUUCCAAGUGUGUCCAAAAAACUAAAGGAAACCAUGACUAAAGAAGUAAAGAUAGAAAUGAUAUGCAUCAAAUAGAGAAUAAUAAAAGGAUCCCAUCAAUAUAGGGAUAGACUGUAAGAAAAUAGAAAUUCUAGAGUUAAAAAGUACAAUAACUGAAGUGAAAAAUCCACUAGAGGCGCUCAAUAAUAGAUCUGAACUGGCAGAAGAAUCAGUGAACUUUAUAAAUCAAUAAAGAUUAAGCAAUUUGAAGAACAGAGAGGAAAAAGAAUUACAAAUUUACAGAGCCUCAGAAAAAUGUGGGACACCAUUAAGCACACCAACUAAUGCAUAAGGUGAAUGCUAGAAGGAGAGGAGAAAGAGAAAGGAGCAGAAAAAAACAUUUUCAUAAAUAAUUGCUGAAAAUAUUACAAAUUUAUUGGGAAACAUCAAUGUACACAUAUAGGAAGCUCCAUGAACUCCAAGUAAGAAAAACACAAAGAGAUCCACAAACAGACACAUUUUGGUAAAAAUAAUGAAAGCUGAAGACGAGAAGAAAAUUUUGAAAGCAUCGAUAGAAAAAUGACUGAUCACUUACAAAAGGGUCCCAAUAAGAUUAAUAGCAGAUAUCUCAGCAACAACAAUGGAAGCCAGAAGAGAAUGGGAUAACAUGUUCAAAGUGCUUAAAGAAAAAGCUGUCAAACAAAAACUCAGCAAAGCUAUCUUUUAGAACUGAAGGUGAAAUAAAAACAUUGCCAACAAAAACUGAAAAAAUAUGUUGCUAGCAGAUUUGACUUACAUGAAAUACUAAAGGAAAUCCUUCAGGUUGACAGCAAGUUACUCCAGAUAGUAAUUCAAAUCCACACAAAACAAAGAGCACUGGUUAAGCCAGUAGACAAGAUUUGACUCUGGAGGUGAUGUCUGAGCCAACAGGUAUUUGGAGUCUGGAGAAAAAGCCAUGCUAAUAAAUUUCUGAACUUGGAAGUCAAA